Molecule: microRNA precursor, 207 nt
Organism: Oryza sativa Japonica Group (Japanese rice)
Lineage: Eukaryota; Viridiplantae; Streptophyta; Magnoliopsida; Poales; Poaceae
Rfam family: MIR812 microRNA precursor family
Source: Rfam
AAAAAAGACAUACCUGGGUUUCCGUGUCCAACGUUCGACUGUGUCAGUCUUAUAUGAAAUUUUUUAUAAUUAGUAUUUUUAUUGUUGUUCGAUAAUAAAACAUGAUUAAUACUUAUGCGUGACUUAUUUUUUAAAUUUUUUUCAUAAUUUUUUUAAAUAAGACGGACGGUCAAACGUUGGACACGAAAAUCCAGGGUUUGUCUUUUU